AAUAUAAAUAAAAAGGAAUAAUAAAGAAGCGAGUCACGAAAAGAAUGAAGUAAAAUAAAUUAUAGAAAGUUUGUAUACGGUGCUCCACAAAAUUAUCCACCCACACCAGGUACAUACACGUUAUUACAAUGUGUCUCUAUCAACCUGUAACUUGCACUGGAGCUUCCACUGAAGCCGCUGUCCAUGUCACAGCCAACAGGCGAAAGGAGGUCGUCGGUGGGACUGACCGAGGAUAACAGUUCCUCUGUGGACGCCCCUCGUUGGUCCUGUGGCUCGUCCUCGUCGUUGUUAUCGGCUACGGUAAUGGAAACCCGCCCAAAGGAUGUUAUCCGAUAAACCAUCAGAAAAAAAGUCGCUAAAGAAACCGGUUGACUUGAACGACGGGUAAGACUCUGCUCUUCCCAUAUUAACCUUCAAUUAAAGUCUCAUAACAUAACAUAAAUCCGAU
Molecule: unclassified non-coding RNA, 448 nt
Filed under: Bombus terrestris (buff-tailed bumblebee)
Lineage: Eukaryota; Metazoa; Arthropoda; Insecta; Hymenoptera; Apidae
Description: misc RNA ENSBTSG00005036053.1
Source: RNAcentral